UUUCCUUCUGUUUUAAUGCGGUAAUUCGUCCUACUAUGUAGCCUCUUGGAAUUUUAUAAUUUUUGUUAGUUUGGUUAACGAAGAUCAUUGGAACUUUCUUAUCCUUCCGAACUAUACAAACGGCGUCUUUUAAAUAUAGUCCUGGGUCUUCCAUAAUGCAGUUAUUGUCUAUGCUGUUCACUUCAACCAAGUCAUUUUUUUCCAGAGGAAAAUUGUUGUUUAUUUUUCCAUAGAAUACAGUCACCGUGUUUGGUCUCAUAAUAAGUUUCUUAGGAGUUCUUACAAUAGUUGAGAUAUGUAAAUCUUCUUUAAGUUCCGCGUAUACUUUGCCAUCAAUACGCAUGAGUCCAAGAUCAAAGUAUAAACGAACAUUGUUUUUCUUGAGCCAAUCACGACCGAGAAUCAUGUUUCGGUUGAGUCCCUUUGUCACAUAAAGUUUGUGGUCUAAAGUUAACCCUGAAAUCUUAAAGGAAAUAUUUACAUACCCUAUCGCAAUUAAAGAAUUGCCAUUUGCUGCUUGUAAAGAGGGGAUGUCAUUAUUAAACAACUUGGGGCGGGGAAAUAGAUUAUCAUACAUUUUCUUACUAAUUAGAGAUACGGCUGCCCCUGUAUCUACCAAAGCUCUAAAUUUAUUUUUACCUACUUUUAAUAAACAGCUACUGGGGUUGUUAGUAAAAUUAAUUUCAUAUGUAGGUCUUUGUUUAAAGUUCUUUCUUCGGGCUUCAACGAAGGAAGAACGUCUUAGUUUUCCUGUUUUUGUUUGUCAAAAUAAGAGCGCGAUUUGAAAUUUUGAGACGAUCCCCUAUUUACUUGGUCGCUAGAUUUAUAUGUUCGGCCUUGACGAUUUGAUGGUCUGCCCCGAUUUUGCUGCGUUCUUUGAUACAUAUGCGAGCCCCAACAAUCUGCACGCACAUGACCUACUUUACCACAAUUCCAACAUUCCACAGGCGAACGGGGUCUCUGUUCUAUAUUAUGGACGGGUUUGUUUUGACUGGGUCGUUUAUCUAUUUGAGGACGGGACCUGACUUGGGAUUUAUUUUGAGUACAAAAUCGAGCCCUAUGACCCGUCUGUUUACAUUUAAAACACCUACUAUUACGCGCAUGGUCAAUUUCCAUUGGUUCUACAUGCCUUGUCUCUACUGAGUUAAAGCUCCUACAAUACGGAAAGGGAGAAUACACAAUAUAUACAAUCUUCCAAAGAAACGCACACCUCCUAGAAUAAGGUCCGAGAGAAGAGACAGCGCAUAUGACGCUCUUAUCAAACGCCGGUGCAAUAGACGACGAGUUUGCAAGCAAUAAAAUCCGUUCACGUGCCCUGUAAAGAUCACUGUAACUUAUAACUAUAACUCAAUGCCUGAAAAAUAAAGUCUGCGUGGAAUGAUAACACUUUUUAUAUCAUUGAAACGGGUGUAUACUGAAUGCUUUGUGUUACUACCUAAAAGUGAGUCAUAUUAAAAGGAGGAAAUCGAUUGAAAUUAAAGUAAUUGGCGGUUAAUUCAAAGCCUUGUACGCACUUACACUUUAGUUCUACAAGCACUUCCGCUAAUAACUCCAAAUUUGAAAAUGUGUUACAUAUAAUAUCAAUUUUAACAUAUGAGAUUUUCUGUACAAUUGGAUAAGAUCUCACUUUAUACUUUGUUGAAUGAAUUUGUAUACUUCUGGUUACAAUAACAUUUUCAUUUUCAUCACUGUUGUUGAUGUUUUAGAAAAACUAUCAUGAGCCCAUGUCAACCUUGGAAAAUUGGCUUUCGUCAUUUAUAAUGUAGAAUCUACAGGAAUCUGUAUCUGAAUGUAAAU
Long non-coding RNA from Magallana angulata, 1797 nucleotides. RefSeq lists it as uncharacterized. The transcript is spliced from 3 exons. The record is from RefSeq and is a predicted model, not a curated record. Lineage: Eukaryota; Metazoa; Mollusca; Bivalvia; Ostreida; Ostreidae.